UAAUACAUAAGUAACCUGCCCUAGACAGGGGGAUAACUAUUGGAAACGAUAGCUAAGACCGCAUAGGUACGGACACUGCAUGGUGACCGUAUUAAAAGUGCCUCAAAGCACUGGUAGAGGAUGGACUUAUGGCGCAUUAGCUGGUUGGCGGGGUAACGGCCCACCAAGGCGACGAUGCGUAGCCGACCUGAGAGGGUGACCGGCCACACUGAGACUGAGACACGGCCCAG
Molecule: ribosomal RNA, 230 nt
Filed under: uncultured bacterium
Lineage: Bacteria
Description: partial 16S ribosomal RNA
Rfam family: Bacterial small subunit ribosomal RNA
Source: RNAcentral